UACGUAGGGUGCAAGCGUUGCCCGGAUUUAUUGGGCGUAAAGGGCGCGUAGGCGGCCACGCACGUCCGUUGUGAAAUCGCCCGGCUCAACUGGGCGGGUCAGCGGAUACGGUGUGGCUCGAGCAAGCUAGGGGCAAUGGAAUUCCCGGUGUAGUGGUGGAAUGCGUAGAUAUCGGGAGGAACACCAGUGGCGAAGGCGGUUGCCUGGAGCUUUGCUGACGCUGAGGCGCGAAAGCGUGGGGAGCGAGUCCGG
This 252-nucleotide ribosomal RNA is filed under the name uncultured bacterium. RNAcentral describes it as "partial 16S ribosomal RNA". It matches the Rfam family "Bacterial small subunit ribosomal RNA", at positions 524 to 777 of the family's 1533-position model. The record is from RNAcentral.